This 890-nucleotide long non-coding RNA is filed under the name Brachypodium distachyon (stiff brome). RNAcentral's name for it is "long non-coding RNA (BDIS_LNC002567)". The record is from RNAcentral. Lineage: Eukaryota; Viridiplantae; Streptophyta; Magnoliopsida; Poales; Poaceae.
GUGUGUUGUAGUACUUCAGCCACUUCGCACGGAAACUUUCCGCGAUCCGCACACACGGCGUAGGGUCCUAGGCAUGCUGGUGCACGAAAGAAUUAGCUGCAGGUCGGCAGGGCGCUGGGCUUUUGUCGUGGCCCAAAGGUUUUCGUCACGUCUGUACUUUUUUAGAGCAAUUUUUUUUUUGGGAAAUUUUUUGAGUGCAAUUGCAAGGCGAUUAGAGCGAGUCUUCUGUUGUGGUUCUGCGUGCGUGCGAUGGUGACAUGCAGAAUUAAAGCAGUUGGCAUGCGGUAAAACGGGGGAAGCAUAAGUGGUUCUAGCGAUCCACCGCAUGCACCGCGUUCACCGUUCUACCUCAAAACAAAAUCUUGUUUACCAGUUGUUUUUCUUUGCCGAACCAAUCUACAAACUGAUGGAGUUAAGUAACAAAAACAUGUCGAAGCAGCUGUUAGCCAUCGAAAAUAAAAGUGAAGUACAAAAUGGAUGACAUUUUUUAUGAAUCGGAGGGAGUACCAAAUAACAGAGGACUCGAUCGUUUCCUCCCGUGGGAAAAUAUGCAAAUUACAAGAUGUGUGAUCACAAAUUCACAGUAACCACCGAGACACCCUAAAAGCUGGUUCUCUUGGCCAGCCUUUUACGCCGGCAAGGUUCACAUGAGCUUUGUUUUUCUUCUGGUUACGGUCUACUACGCCAUCUAAAUUUGUCAAACGUGCACGACGUUCCAUUCUACACAUUCGAUUACUCAGAAAAAUUAGCAACUUCAGGAUAAGAUACUGCAUGAGCGCAACUGCAUCUCCACUCCAUCUGCAAAUGGUGCAAACAUGGCCCUAGCCAACAUACACCCCAUGCGAUUGGUCAUCCGUACAAUUUUAAGCGUAAUCAUCUAGUGUACAUUA